ACUCCUACGGGAGGCAGCAGUGGGGAAUAUUGCACAAUGGGCGCAAGCCUGAUGCAGCCAUGCCGCGUGUAUGAAGAAGGCCUUCGGGUUGUAAAGUACUUUCAGCAGUGAGGAAGGCGGUACGUUAAUAGCUGUGCUCGUUUGACGUUAGCUGCAGAAGAAGCACCGGCUAACUCCGUGCCAGCAGCCGCGGUAAUACGGAGGGUGCGAGCGUUAAUCGGAAUUACUGGGCGUAAAGCGCAUGCAGGUGGUUUGUUAAGUCAGAUGUGAAAGCCCGGGGCUCAACCUCGGAAUAGCA
Molecule: ribosomal RNA, 298 nt
Filed under: uncultured bacterium
Lineage: Bacteria
Description: partial 16S ribosomal RNA
Rfam family: Bacterial small subunit ribosomal RNA
Source: RNAcentral